RNAcentral lists this ribosomal RNA (491 nucleotides) under uncultured Proteiniphilum sp. RNAcentral's name for it is "bacterial SSU rRNA". It matches the Rfam family "Bacterial small subunit ribosomal RNA", at positions 888 to 1382 of the family's 1533-position model. The record is from RNAcentral. Lineage: Bacteria; Pseudomonadati; Bacteroidota; Bacteroidia; Bacteroidales; Dysgonomonadaceae.
CCCGCUCAGAAACUCAAAGGAAUUGACGGGGCCCGCACAAGCGGUGGAGCAUGUGGUUUAAUUCGAUGAUACGCGAGGAACCUUACCUGGGCUCAAAUGUAUGUUGACGUAUUCUGAAAGGGAUACUUCUUCGGACAAUAUACAAGGUGCUGCAUGGUUGUCGUCAGCUCGUGCCGUGAGGUGUCGGGUUAAGUCCCAUAACGAGCGCAACCCCUAUCAUUAGUUGCCAUCAGGUCAAGCUGGGGACUCUAAUGAGACUGCCAUCGUAAGAUGUGAGGAAGGUGGGGAUGACGUCAAAUCAGCACGGCCCUUACGUCCGGGGCGACACACGUGUUACAAUGGGUGGUACAAAGGGCAGCUACCUGGCGACAGGAUGCUAAUCUCGAAAACCGCUCUCAGUUCGGAUCGGAGUCUGCAACUCGACUCCGUGAAGCUGGAUUCGCUAGUAAUCGCGCAUCAGCCACGGCGCGGUGAAUACGUUCCCGGGCCUU